This 1806-nucleotide small RNA is filed under the name Pongo abelii (Sumatran orangutan). RNAcentral's name for it is "processed transcript". Lineage: Eukaryota; Metazoa; Chordata; Mammalia; Primates; Hominidae. The record is from RNAcentral.
GCGGGGGUCGGUGGCUGCUGGGCGGGCGGGGCGCAGGCCGCGGGACCCGAGCCCGGGGGAGCGAGAGAGCGGAAGCGCCGAGGAUCCGAUUCACUCGCUGGGGAGACCUAUGGGCCGAAGCCGUGUAAAUGCGUUUUAAGGCGAGUGCGGAAAGUGGCCUGGGGAGCCUCGGGGAGCGGACGCCCUCCGCCCUGGUGCUGACCUGCCCCCCUGCCUCUUCUGCCUCCCGUCAGCAGGGGCCUCGGCUCCGCAACUGCCACUCCUCCUCGGGGUGUUGCACAAGUUUCGAGGUCACCGGCGACCCCCCCUAGCAGCGCGCCUGGCUCUGGCCCCCGCGAAGGAGGACGGAGCUUGGCAGAGAUGGAGUUGGUCCAGCAUAUUGGAGUCCCUGCCAGUAAGAUCAUCUGCGCCAACCCCUGUAAGCAAAUUGCACAGAUCAAAUAUGCUGCCAAGCAUGGGAUCCGGCUGCUGAGCUUUGACAAUGAGAUGGAGCUGGCAAAGGUGGUAAAGAGCCACCCCAGUGCCAAGAUGGUUCUGUGCAUUGCUACCGAUGACUCCCACUCCCUGAGCCGCCUGAGCCUAAAGUUUGGAGUGUCACUGAAAUCCUGCAGACACCUGCUUGAAAAUGCGAAGAAGAGCCACGUGGAGGUGGUGGGUGUGAGUUUUCACAUUGGCAGUGGCUGUCCUGACCCUCAGGCCUACGCUCAGUCCAUCGCAGAUGCCCGGCUCGUGUUUGAAAUGGGCACUGAGCUGGGUCACAAGAUGCACAUUCUGGACCUUGGUGGCGGCUUCCCUGGCACAGAAGGGACUAAAGUGAGAUUUGAAGAGAUUGCUUCCAUGAUCAACUCAGCCUUGGACCUGUACUUCCCAGAGGGCUGUGGCGUGGACAUCUUUGCUGAGCUGGGGCGCUACUACGUGACUUCGGCCUUCACUGUGGCAGUCAGCAUCACUGCCAAGAAGGAGGUUCUGCUGGACCAGCCUGGCAGGGAGGAGGAAAAUGGUUCCACCCGCAAGACCAUCGUGUACCACCUUGAUGAGGGCGUGUAUGGGAUCUUCAACUCAGUCCUGUUUGACAACAUCUGCCCUAUCCCCAUCCUGCAGAAGAAACCAUCCACGGAGCAGCCCCUGUACAGCAGCAGCCUGUGGGGCCCGGCGGUUGAUGGCUGUGACUGCGUGGCUGAGGGCCUGUGGCUGCCGCAACUACACGUAGGGGACUGGCUGGUCUUUGACAACAUGGGUGCCUACACUGUGGGCAUGGGUCCCCCCAAAGGGGGGACCCAGGCCUGCCACAUCACCUAUGCCAUGUCCCGGGUGGCCUGGGAAGCGCUGGGAAGGCAGCUGAUGGCUGCAGAACAGGAGGAUGACGUGGAGGGUGUGUGCAAGCCUCUGUCCUGCGGCUGGGAGAUCACAGACACCCUGUGCGUGGGCCCUGUCUUCACCCCGGCGAGCAUCAUGUGAGCGGGCCUCGUUCCCCCCGGAGAACCCCAGCGGGGCCUCAGAGAUGCGUCUGGGAGAGGUGGGGAAGAUGGCAGGCAAGGGUACCCUUGGCCAGGACUCUGGUACCCACCCUGCCACCCCCGCGCUCCACCUGCAGUGUUUCUGCCCUGUAAAUAGGACCAGUCUUACACUCGCUGUAGUUCAAGUAUGCGACAUAAAUCCUGUUCCUUCCAGCUGUGUCUGCCUCCUCUGCAGUGCAAGGGGCCUGGUCAGCCAGGUGUGGGGGUGUUCUUGAGGUCUCCUUUGGUCUCCUUCCCACCUUUGUAAAUAUAAUGCAAAUAAAUAAAUAUUUAGGUUUUUUAAAACUGC